RNAcentral lists this ribosomal RNA (484 nucleotides) under uncultured bacterium. Its description in RNAcentral is "partial 16S ribosomal RNA". It matches the Rfam family "Bacterial small subunit ribosomal RNA", at positions 30 to 507 of the family's 1533-position model. The record is from RNAcentral.
AUUGAACGCUGGCGGCAGGCCUAACACAUGCAAGUCGAGCGGAUGAAGGGAGCUUGCUCCUGGAUUCAGCGGCGGACGGGUGAGUAAUGCCUAGGAAUCUGCCUGGUAGUGGGGGAUAACGUCCGGAAACGGGCGCUAAUACCGCCUACGUCCUGAGGGAGAAAGUGGGGGAUCUUCGGACCUCACGCUAUCAGAUGAGCCUAGGUCGGAUUAGCUAGUUGGUGGGGUAAAGGCCUACCAAGGCGACGAUCCGUAACUGGUCUGAGAGGAUGAUCAGUCACACUGGAACUGAGACACGGUCCAGACUCCUACGGGAGGCAGCAGUGGGGAAUAUUGGACAAUGGGCGAAAGCCUGAUCCAGCCAUGCCGCGUGUGUGAAGAAGGUCUUCGGAUUGUAAAGCACUUUAAGUUGGGAGGAAGGGCAGUAAGUUAAUACCUUGCUGUUUUGACGUUACCAACAGAAUGAGCACCGGCUAACUUCGUG